This 500-nucleotide ribosomal RNA is filed under the name uncultured bacterium. Its description in RNAcentral is "partial 16S ribosomal RNA". It matches the Rfam family "Bacterial small subunit ribosomal RNA", at positions 30 to 523 of the family's 1533-position model. The record is from RNAcentral.
AUUGAACGCUGGCGGCAUGCCUUACACAUGCAAGUCGAACGGCAGCACGGGAGCAAUCCUGGUGGCGAGUAGCGAACGGGUGAGUAAAGUAUCGGAACGUGCCCAGUCGUGGGGGAUAACGUAGCGAAAGUUACGCUAAUACCGCAUACGAUCUAUGGAUGAAAGCGGGGGAUCGCAAGACCUCGCGCGAUUGGAGCGGCCGAUAUCAGAUUAGGUAGUUGGUGGGGUAAAGGCUCACCAAGCCGACGAUCUGUAGCCGGUCUGAGAGGACGACCAGCCACACUGGGACUGGGACACGGCCCAGACUCCUACGGGGGGCAGCAGUGGGGAAUUUUGGACAAUGGGCGAAAGCCUGAUCCAGCCAUGCCGCGUGCAGGAUGAAGGCCUUCGGGUUGUAAACUGCUUUUGUACGGAACGAAAAGGUUUGGCCUAAUAAGCUGAGCUCAUGACGGUACCGUAAGAAUAAGCACCGGCUAACUACGUGCCAGCCGCCGCAGUAA